This 435-nucleotide ribosomal RNA is filed under the name uncultured bacterium. Its description in RNAcentral is "partial 16S ribosomal RNA". It matches the Rfam family "Bacterial small subunit ribosomal RNA", at positions 28 to 507 of the family's 1533-position model. The record is from RNAcentral.
GAUGAACGCUGGCGGUAUGCUUAACACAUGCAAGUCGAACGGACUCUUCGGAGUUAGUGGCGGACGGGUGAGUAACGCGUGAGAAUCUGGCUUUGGGUUCGGGACAACCACUGGAAACGGUGGCUAAUACCGGAUGUGCCGAGAGGUAAAAGAGAAAUUGCCUGAAGAUGAGCUCGCGUCUGAUUAGCUAGUUGGUGAGGUAAAGGCUCACCAAGGCAGCGAUCAGUAGCUGGUCUGAGAGGAUGACCAGCCACACUGGGACUGAGACACGGCCCAGACUCCUACGGGAGGCAGCAGUGGGGAAUUGUCCGCAAUGGGCGAAAGCCUGACGGAGCAAUACCGCGUGAGGGAAGAAGGCUCUUGGGGUGUAAACCUCUUUUCUUAGGGAAGAACAAAAUGACGGUACCUAAGGAAUCAGCAUCGGCUAACUCCGUG